This 72-nucleotide transfer RNA is filed under the name Dendronephthya gigantea. RNAcentral describes it as "tRNA-Pro". It matches the Rfam family "tRNA". From Rfam's summary of the family: Transfer RNA (tRNA) molecules are approximately 80 nucleotides in length. The record is from RNAcentral. Lineage: Eukaryota; Metazoa; Cnidaria; Anthozoa; Malacalcyonacea; Nephtheidae.
GGCUUGCUGGUCUAGUGGUAUGAUUCUCGCUUAGGGUGAAAGAGGUCACGGGUUCGAUUCCCGUGCAAGCCC